UACGGAGGAUGCAAGCGUUAUCCGGAAUGAUUGGGCGUAAAGCGUCCGCAGGUGGCUGUGUAAGUCUGCUGUUAAAUAGUGAGGCUCAACCUCAUAAAGGCAGUGGAAACUACACGGCUAGAGUGCGUUCGGGGCAGAGGGAAUUCCUGGUGUAGCGGUGAAAUGCGUAGAGAUCAGGAAGAACACCGGUGGCGAAAGCGCUCUGCUAGGCCGCAACUGACGCUGAGGUGCGAAAGCGUGGGGAGCAAACAGG
Molecule: ribosomal RNA, 253 nt
Filed under: uncultured bacterium
Lineage: Bacteria
Description: partial 16S ribosomal RNA
Rfam family: Bacterial small subunit ribosomal RNA
Source: RNAcentral